This 403-nucleotide ribosomal RNA is filed under the name uncultured beta proteobacterium. Its description in RNAcentral is "bacterial SSU rRNA". It matches the Rfam family "Bacterial small subunit ribosomal RNA", at positions 9 to 416 of the family's 1533-position model. Lineage: Bacteria; Pseudomonadati; Pseudomonadota; Betaproteobacteria. The record is from RNAcentral.
GAGUUUGAUCUUGGCUCAGAUUGAACGCUGGCGGAAUGCUUUACACAUGCAAGUCGAGCGGCAGCGCGGGGCAACCUGGCGGCGAGCGGCGAACGGGUGAGUAAUGCAUCGGAACAUGUCCAUGUCGUGGGGGAUAGCCCGGCGAAAGCCGGAUUAAUACCGCAUACGCCCGAGAGGGGAAAGUGGGGGACCGCAAGGCCUCACGCGAUUGGGUUGGCCGAUGUCCGAUUAGCUAGUUGGCGGGGUAAGAGCCCACCAAGGCGAUGAUCGGUAGCUGGUCUGAGAGGAUGAUCAGCCACACUGGGACUGAGACACGGCCCAGACUCCUACGGGAGGCAGCAGUGGGAAUUUUGGACAAUGGGGGAAACCCUGAUCCAGCCAUUCCGCGUGAGUGAAGAAGGCC